Long non-coding RNA from Lathyrus oleraceus (garden pea), 2293 nucleotides. RefSeq lists it as uncharacterized. The transcript has 3 exons. Lineage: Eukaryota; Viridiplantae; Streptophyta; Magnoliopsida; Fabales; Fabaceae. The record is from RefSeq and is a predicted model, not a curated record.
UCUCGUCGUCAUUGGUCGUGAGCCACCGCGCCGGCGGCUAUCACCGGAGGCGGUGGCGGCUAAACCCUAAAUUUAACAACCAAAUUAUGCACACAGACGCGCUGAUGAUGAAAAUUGGGGUGGUUGUGGCAAAUGGUUCUUGGAUUAACCAAAUCGACGAGAUUUUGGGAAGAACCUUAAGUCUCUAUGUUCAAAUUAAAUGGCGUUGGGGAUCAGUUAACCUCCUACACCAUAGGGCUUCUAUUCCUCAUACCAAAUACUCCUAACUAGUGAUCUUAAAGCAAACAAAUACGAGUGAAAUGAAAAUUACAUACCGGAAAAGACGAUCAGAAUAAUUUGUCGGUCUGUUAUGGUGAUGAGUUUGUGUUAUGCAUCAAGGCCAUAUCCAUAGGUUGCAACAUGAGGUAAGCACAUGGUGGAUGUCUUCCACAAUCUCUGUUAUGAUGACCCUGCUGCAAAGGGCUUGGGAUUCUCAAUGUUCUCAUGUUGAAUAGCCAAAGCAGUUAGCUAAAGGGAACCAACUUGCAGGGGUUUGAUUAAUAGUUUUGAUCCCUUCUUUUAGAUGAACAUUUAGCUUAGGCUUAGUUUGUGAAUGUUAUGUGAUGUUAGUUGAAUUGCCAUUACAUGGAACUUUGCACUGGAUUAGAAUGUUUGCAGCUAAACUGUCAAGGCUGGUUGUAUGAAGUGAGUCCAUGUCACGGCUUUGGUUUGCUUCAUGUUGCAGAACUGUUUUGUUUUAAUUUGAAAUAUUGUUGCAUUUAAGGUUUUGGUUAUGACAUGCUUGGCAAUGAGGAUAUUUGUUACUAGUUAUGACCCUGAUUCGAUGCAAAAAAUUGCCAAGGUUUUGAGUGUGGUGGAUCACCAGGGUGGUUCAUGGUUUGGCUUACAAGUCUGGUAUGAAGCUUACAUCAGGUUUGAGUUGGCAUUGUGGAUGUUUGUGGUUCUUGCAGGUCAGUUUUUGCUAGCAGGUCCAUGCCAAUUGCAGCUUGUACUCAGUUGAUGUUGUGAUGCUUUUGCAGCAUGGAGUGUGUGUACGUUGCAGGUUGUUGUGUUGGACUGCAUUGUUGCUUUGGGAUACUACAGGACAUGGUUGUUGGUGAUGCUGUAGAAGGCAUUGCCUUGGUUCAUGUUGUACCUUGCAUUGGUUUUGUUGGCAAUAUUGAAUCAAUGUAUUGAAUUGGUCUGGCUGCAGGGUCAAGGGGUGAGGCCAAGUCAAGCUGGAAAUUAUCCAGGGUUUGGAGGUGGUUAUGCAUGGUCUCAACUGACAUUGAUUUUGCAGGUGGUCAUCCAUACCCUCUUUUGCAUGACCAAUCUAUUAUGCACCAUGAUCUUGUUUCCAAGUUCAUUAUUAUGCUUGGAAUACUGCAGCAGGCUCGCCAUUGUCUUCAAGUGAAAAAUGGCAAAAGCAAGGUGGUUAAGCUUGUCAUCACAAGGUCAUAACCCUUCUGUUGGAUAACUCUGGUGUCACAGUGUACAUGUUGUUAGCUACUGAAAGACCACAGUUGCAGAAUGCUUGCAAGGUUAAGUGUGUUGAUGAGGAUGGUAGGUUGCUUGGUUGGUCUUCUUGCAGAUAAACUGUUUGCUGCAAUGGUUUUGGUUUGCAUCGUGUGUAAUGCAUAGCUAGUUCAACCUAUGGCUUGGCAUGCUUCAUGGAUAAAAAUGGUUGUGUCUUUGCAUUAGGUCCUGCUUGCUCAUGCUCACAACAGAUUUUGGCUUGGACAUUGACAACAAACUUAUGGCUUUAGUUCAUGGCAUGUUAGCAACACUUCAUGUCUUGGCUUUUAUGACAUUAUUUGUUGGUUAUGACAUUGGUCUAUACAGGUUUGGCAUUGCAGCAAGUUGGUACAACAGGGCAAAUGCAGCAGGAUGAAAGUUAGUUGUCAAAGCAAAGACUACAAAUGUUCAAGGCAUGACCAAGCAUGUUGGCAUCAAAGUGAAGAAAUCAAGUUCACAUGGUUAAAUCAAGGCCAAGAUGGACAUGGAGAAUGAAAUGAUAGUUAGGACUAGUCAUUUAGUGAUUAAGGAUGACCAAGGGCCUAGGUUGACUUUGGUCAAAGUUGACCAAAAAGUCAGUUGUUGACCAAAGUCAACAAUUGGUCAAAAUUCUUUUUUUUGCUGUUUUUCUUGUAAAUGGACAAUGGAUUGAUGAUUAGGGUGAAAAUUUAGGGCAUUAGGGUUUUGGGUUGACUUUGGUCAAAGUUGACCAAAAAGUCAACUGUUGACCAAAGUCAACUUUUGGUCAAAAAUGUCAAAUUUUAUAAUUUCUUAUGUAGAAUCAUAUGUAAUGGUUUAA